RNAcentral lists this ribosomal RNA (468 nucleotides) under uncultured bacterium. RNAcentral's name for it is "partial 16S ribosomal RNA". It matches the Rfam family "Bacterial small subunit ribosomal RNA", at positions 28 to 507 of the family's 1533-position model. The record is from RNAcentral.
GACGAACGCUGGCGGCGUGCUUAACACAUGCAAGUCGAACGGAAAGGCCCUGCUUUUGUGGGGUGCUCGAGUGGCGAACGGGUGAGUAACACGUGAGUAACCUGCCCUUGACUUUGGGAUAACUUCAGGAAACUGGGGCUAAUACCGGAUAGGAGCUCCUGCUGCAUGGUGGGGGUUGGAAAGUUUCGGCGGUUGGGGAUGGACUCGCGGCUUAUCAGCUUGUUGGUGGGGUAGUGGCUUACCAAGGCUUUGACGGGUAGCCGGCCUGAGAGGGUGAACGGCCACAUUGGGACUGAGAUAGGGCCCAGACUCCUACGGGAGGCAGCAGUGGGGAAUAUUGCACAAUGGGCGGAAGCCUGAUGCAGCAACGCCGCGUGCGGGAUGACGGCCUUCGGGUUGUAAACCGCUUUCGCCUGUGACGAAGCGUGAGUGACGGUAAUGGGUAAAGAAGCACCGGCUAACUACGUG